UUCUGGUAUGAAAGUUAAAGCAAAGUUUGA
This 30-nucleotide non-coding RNA is filed under the name Rattus norvegicus (Norway rat). The record is from RNAcentral. Lineage: Eukaryota; Metazoa; Chordata; Mammalia; Rodentia; Muridae.